Molecule: ribosomal RNA, 253 nt
Filed under: uncultured bacterium
Lineage: Bacteria
Description: partial 16S ribosomal RNA
Rfam family: Bacterial small subunit ribosomal RNA
Source: RNAcentral
UACGAGAGGCCCAAACGUUAUUCGGAAUUACUGGGCUUAAAGAGUUCGUAGGCGGCGCAGCAAGUAGGGUGUGAAAGCCCUCGGCUCAACCGAGGAAUUGCGCUCUAAACUACUGUGCUUGAGGAAGCUAGAGGUGAGCGGAACUGAUGGUGGAGCGGUGAAAUGCGUUGAUAUCAUCAGGAACACCGGAGGCGAAGGCGGCUCACUGGGGCUUUUCUGACGCUGAGGAACGAAAGCCAGGGGAGCGAACGGG